RNAcentral lists this long non-coding RNA (479 nucleotides) under Arachis ipaensis. RNAcentral describes it as "long non-coding RNA (AIPA_LNC000776)". Lineage: Eukaryota; Viridiplantae; Streptophyta; Magnoliopsida; Fabales; Fabaceae. The record is from RNAcentral.
UCUGAGAUUGGUUUAUACGAGAUACAUUGGUGAUUCAUGAACAAGAACAAAGCACGUGCACCAUUAAUGCAAGGAUAUCUGAUAAAAUUAAUGUUAAAAAUAAAUAAAAUGAGCCAUGAGAAGGAUGAGUUUAGCCAACAAGAUUUUGUUAAGGUAAGCCACUAACAAGAACUCGAAUCACACUACAAAACAUUGAGAAAGAGAGAGGUGACACGUUGGCCAUGAUUGCUAACCUGUGACUAUAUUAUCAUCAAUAAGCAGAAUGUGUAGAGCAUCCUAUUUUUCUUUGGUUUACAAGAAGGCCGAAGCCCAGACAGAAACUACACCACAACUACUCUGCAGGGCAAGGCAUCAUCCACAGACAAGAUACAUUUGGGGGGAUCAUCUCAAAAAUGUAAUCCUUGAUCCAACUCACAUCCUUUGCGAGCACAGCGGGUGAACAAAGAACAGCUCCCCAAUUCUUUUGUUAUCAUCAGAGA